GGAUGUGAGGGCGAUCUGGCUGUGACAUCUGUCACCCCAUUGAUUGCCAGGGUUGAUUCAGCUCAUCUGGCUGGCUCCGGUGUCCCCUUCCUUCCUCACCACUCCAUGUGUGUCCCUCCCAAAACUGUGCACUUCAAGAGGACGACCUUCCCUGAUAGAGGAGGACCGUUCUUCAGUCAAGGGUAUAUGAGUAGCUGCACUCCCCUGCUAGAACCUCCAAACAAGCUCUCAAGGUCCACUUGUAGGAGAACGUAGGGUAGUCAAGGUUCUAAGACUCCAGACUAACAGAAGACCAU
RNAcentral lists this small nuclear RNA (296 nucleotides) under Felis catus (domestic cat). Its description in RNAcentral is "7SK RNA". It matches the Rfam family "7SK RNA". Rfam says of the family: 7SK was discovered as an abundant small nuclear RNA in the mid-70s but a possible function has only recently been suggested. Two independent studies have found that 7SK RNA binds the CDK9/cyclin T complex (known as elongation factor P-TEFb). P-TEFb activates transcription by phosphorylating the C-terminal domain of RNA polymerase II. The record is from Rfam by way of RNAcentral. Lineage: Eukaryota; Metazoa; Chordata; Mammalia; Carnivora; Felidae.